RNAcentral lists this ribosomal RNA (494 nucleotides) under uncultured bacterium. Its description in RNAcentral is "bacterial SSU rRNA". It matches the Rfam family "Bacterial small subunit ribosomal RNA", at positions 29 to 517 of the family's 1533-position model. The record is from RNAcentral.
AAUGAACGCUGGCGGCGCGCCUAAUACAUGCAAGUCGAGCGAGAAGACGUAGCAAUACGUUUGUAAAGCGGCGAACGGGUGAGGAAUACAUGGGUAACCUACCCUCGAGUGGGGAAUAACUAGCCGAAAGGUUAGCUAAUACCGCGUACGCUCCUUGGACUUCGGUUCAGGGAGGAAAGCGAUACCGUGGGUAUCGCGCUCUUGGUUGGGCUCAUGUCCUAUCAGCUUGUUGGUGAGGUAACGGCUCACCAAGGCUUCGACGGGUAGCUGGUCUGAGAGGACGAUCAGCCACACUGGCACUGCGACACGGGCCAGACUCCUACGGGAGGCAGCAGUAAGGAAUAUUGCGCAAUGGGCGAAAGCCUGACGCAGCGACGCCGCGUGGGGGAUGAAGGUCUUCGGAUUGUAACCCCUUUCGGGAGGGAAGAUGGAAUGGGUAACCAUUCGGACGGUACCUCCAGAAGCAGCCACGGCUAACUUCGUGCCAGCAGCCG